Molecule: ribosomal RNA, 464 nt
Filed under: uncultured bacterium
Lineage: Bacteria
Description: partial 16S ribosomal RNA
Rfam family: Bacterial small subunit ribosomal RNA
Source: RNAcentral
CCUACGGGUGGCAGCAGUGGGGAAUAUUGCGCAAUGGGCGAAAGCCUGACGCAGCGACGCCGCGUGAGGGAUGAAGGUCUUCGGAUCGUAAACCUCUGUCAGCAGGGAAGAACGGUCACUGUGCUAAUCAGCAGUGAAUUGACUGUACCUGCAAAGGAAGCACCGGCUACUUCCGGCCGGCAGCCGCGUGAAUACGGUGGGUGCGAGAGUUAAUCGGAAUUAGUGGGCGUAAAGCGCUCGUGAGGUGUAUGUUAAGUGCAGGGUGAAAUCCCCGCGCUCAACGUGGGAACUGCCGUUUGAACUGGCAAACUGGAGAGUGUGAGAGGAUAGUGGAAUUCCAGGUGUAGGAGUGAAAUCCGUAGAUAUCGGGAGGAACAUCAGUGGCGAAGGCGACUAUCUGGCACAUAACUGACGCUGAGGAGCGAAAGCGUGGGUAGCAAACAGGAUUAGAUACCCUAGUAGUC